AACGCACCUUGCGCUCCUUGGUAUUCCGAGGAGCAUGCCUGUUUGAGUGUCAUUAAAUUCUCAACCCCUCCAGCUUUUGCGAGUUGUGAUGGGGCUUGGAUAUGGGAGUUUGCAGGUCUUUAUCAAUAAAGGUCAGCUCUCCUGAAAUGCAUUAGCGGAACCGUUUGCAGUCCCGUCACUAGUGUGAUAAUUAUCUACACUGUGAUGAUUGCUCUCUGACUAGUUCAGCUGCUAAUCGUCCAUUACGGACAACACUUAAUGAACUUCUUGACCUCAAAUCAGGUAGGACUACCCGCUGAACUUAA
This 305-nucleotide unclassified non-coding RNA is filed under the name uncultured Lycoperdon. RNAcentral describes it as "sequence contains ITS2". The stretch from base 1 to 52 matches the Rfam family "5.8S ribosomal RNA", at positions 103 to 154 of the family's 154-position model. The record is from RNAcentral. Lineage: Eukaryota; Fungi; Basidiomycota; Agaricomycetes; Agaricales; Lycoperdaceae.